Amphimedon queenslandica is the source of this 289-nucleotide long non-coding RNA. RefSeq lists it as uncharacterized. The record is from RefSeq and is a predicted model, not a curated record. The transcript is spliced from 2 exons. Lineage: Eukaryota; Metazoa; Porifera; Demospongiae; Haplosclerida; Niphatidae.
CCCCAAUGACUGUAGGCUGGGGAAUGGUCUGGCUAUAGCGAGACUAAUCAGACUAAUCAGGCUCAGCAUCACUAGAAGUAGAAGUAUCACAAGGAAGAUCAUAAUCAUUAGUCUCUAACUCUGUGAAAUCAACUGACACUAGAUCUGGCUCAUCUAUAGAAAUUUCAGGAGGCAAGAAAGAAAGGAGAGUUGCUUGACGCUUGGUUGCCAUUGCAAGAAAUGAUUACAAAAUUAACAUUCAAAAUAUUCAUGAAAAGUUAAUUUUAAUAACAAUAAUAAUUAAUUUUAA